Molecule: ribosomal RNA, 214 nt
Filed under: Salmonella enterica subsp. enterica serovar Cerro
Lineage: Bacteria; Pseudomonadati; Pseudomonadota; Gammaproteobacteria; Enterobacterales; Enterobacteriaceae
Description: partial 23S ribosomal RNA
Rfam family: Bacterial large subunit ribosomal RNA
Source: RNAcentral
CCCGUACUUGGUGUUACUGCGAAGGGGGGACGGAGAAGGCUAUGUUGGCCGGGCGACGGUUGUCCCGGUUUAAGCGUGUAGGUGUGUGUUCCAGGUAAAUCCGGUUCACUUUAACACUGAGGCGUGACGACGAGGCACUACGGUGCUGAAGCAACAAAUGCCCUGCUUCCAGGAAAAGCCUCUAAGCAUCAGGUAACAUCAAAUCGUACCCCAA